CCCCUACGUGCCCCUGACCCCGGCCAGCUGCUCUACCCGGGCAACCAGAGCGAGAGACCGCUCCUGAGUGAUGGGGCCUAGAGUUUUCUCCCGGGGAAGGAGUGCGGGGAUAACUAGGGGCGCAGAUAGGACCUGACUUUCCUCCUCCCACCUCCAGCUCCGCUCGAGGGCCGCCGUCAGCCCCAGUAACCCCGCUUUCCUGGGUUUGAGAGAAAAGCCGGGUCGGUAACAGCCUUAACUCUUGCUUCCCACGGGGGCGCUAUUGAUACUCUGGCUUGCUUUCUUUUGCCCGCUUUCCCUGCCAUCCAGAGAACCGAGCCAAGUUCCUCCUUGGCGAGGCCACCAGAUGGACACCCAGACCUUUCUCCACCUUCAAGUCAAGCCCUGACGUACACUGGGAUGCGCUACUAUCUAGGAUUCUCUACACUUUGACUUCCCACCUCUCCGCGGACCUCACCUUGUGCUAAGUGGUUUUUUCCGAGGUGCUAGAUGUUGGGCCGGAUGCUUAGUAUAAACGUUGGUCCUUCAGACGCCAUCGCCCUCCGCCCAAGACCUGUGCUGGUCCUCUGCUGUCCUCCGGGCGUCUCAAGUACUUCUCAAGUACACUAGGGGAAGGAAAAGGACUCCCAGAUCCCCAAACCUUUAUCGCCAACUCCUGACCAGUUUUCAAGACUCAGCUCCACAUUUCGAGGGACCUGCAGAAUAUCCAUUCUUGCGCCUCGCCUCCAGCCUUUCCAGUGUCGUAUAAGUACUUCCUGCAGGUUACUCUUCCCCGACUGCACCCUGACAUAACACUUCUCUGUUCAUGAACGUUUCCUAGCGUCCACAUUCCCUACUAAACAGUGUCUGCUGAUUUCUGUGCACUGCACGCCAGUCUCUCCUGGGAUGCGCCUCUCCCAGUCUUAGGUCUAAACCAUUCCAGCACUUCAAGGCCCGCUUCAAACUUGGCCUCCUCCGUGACCCCUCCCUUUUGUCGUACGUACGUAGUACGUGGUCAGAACUAUCUUUUUAAAGACAUAUCACCUUCCGCGCCCUACAGAAUACAUGUGCUUUCUAUGUACAAGCCUUACCACUUUAAAUGUUUCUCCAGGGUGGAUUCCAUAUCACUUUGCAUUUUUUCCCCUAUAACCCAAAGCCAAGCACGUUUGAGAUACCUAUUCAUCCAACAGAUACUAUUUUGCAACUUUUGUCAGGCACUCGGUAUUUGUUAAAUGAGUGGAAUUUACAAAACAUUUCGUCUAGAAAGACUGCUUAAGAUUCGUUUUUAGGGGGCAGGGUAUAGCUCAAGUGGUAGAGCGCAUACUUAGCAGGCAGGAGGGCCAGGGUUCCAUCCCCAGUACCUCCUCCAAAUAUAAAUAAAUAAAUAAACCUACCUACCUCCCCCUCAUGAAACAAAAGAAAAAAGAAAAAAAGAUUCAUUUUGAGGUGUGCCUAAACGUAAAGUAGUAUUAUCUUUCACACAUUUUAUGGGUGGUGAAAAAUCCCCUUACUUUCCUAGCCCACAUCAACAUCACUCAUCACCUUCAAUAAGAAUUUAAUUAUUUGACAAGUAUUUGUUAAAAGUAUUUUUUAUUUUAAAUUUCCGUAAGAGUUUAGAAAUUUAAAUCCAUUUUCUUACUAAGUGGUCAUAGGUCAAGAGAGCAAAUUAUUUAUCGUGUAAAACACUGCUGCUAUCUCCACUAACAGGAAGUAGGGUGCUAGGACCCAUCAUGCCUAAGUCUUGUCUGUAAGCAUGCAGUGAUACGGAAAACAACCUUUGGAAAUAAAAUCUAAUUCUACUUACUAAAUUACUCAUAGCUCAAAUGGAUUACAGAGAAUAACCUUAAUAUACACAUUUUUUUUGAAAAGCUGAGUUCUCCAUAUGCACAGCUUGAAUUCUGGAUGGCUGCUAAGGCUCUUGUGUUGAUUAUCACCAUGUGGUUUUACUGCCUUAGUGUUUUGUAUUUUUUGUAUAAUUAUGUAUUUUUUAAAUUAUUCUCCAAACAAAAGAUCAAAACGAUCUAGCUGAAAAGUUAGACAUAUUUUCACAUUGCUUCUUAAGCCAUCUUUUUUGACCUUUAUUAAUGUUUAUGAAAUGUUCCUUUUGCUUGUAUUUCAAUUUCUCAGAUUUAUCAUGAGAUGAAAUCAUGUUAAUAAAAAAGAGGAGAAAUAUCUGUUUACUAUGUCAAAAUGCUUUCCUCAUAACACUUGGUAAAAUAAAUCACUUUAAUAUAAGGUUAACCUGAAGUAAUCUUAUGUGUAUCAUAAGAUUAAUUUAGAUGAACAAUGUUAUUUCCUCAUACAUCACGAUGCUGUAUAUUGGAAUUUUGAUGUAUAUACACACAAUACCGAGAAAAAUAGAUUUUUGGUAAUUUUUGUUCAAUAAAGUAUCUGAAAAAUAUUUAGUAUAAUCUGAAUAACAUAGUUACUGACUACACUUUAACUUACCAAACUGGAAUUUUCAUUGGCGAGUUGACUUACGGGAAGAGCCUGUAUAGAUGAGAAUAAAGGAGAAAAGGCUGGAGAAUGAACAUUUUUUAAAAUGCUAAAAGGAGAAGGGGAAGAAUUUGCAAAUUUUUGGAGACUAAAUAAUUAGAAUUUGAUUUAAAUUCAUUUAAAAAGUCAAAUGGAAAGAAGUGUAUAUAGCAUAUUGAGUGAAAUCAAACAGAAAUAAAAGCGAAUUUAGAGGAAGAGUCUUUAAAAGUGAUGUGAACUACAUUAAAGGAAAAA
Vicugna pacos (alpaca) is the source of this 2709-nucleotide non-coding RNA. The record is from RefSeq and is a predicted model, not a curated record. NCBI's taxonomy places the organism in Eukaryota, Metazoa, Chordata, Mammalia, Artiodactyla, Camelidae.